UAUUGGACAGUUGAGUUGUUGGUAUUGGAUUGGUGCGAGACUUGGCACGACUAGAGGCAGUCGUGACGAGAAGUUCUUGAGGAUUUCAUCUAAGGUUCAGAGUUAUGAGAUCGAUUGAUUUCCUUAAAGGGGAUUAUCGGGCGUUGCGUAGCACUUUCCAAGGGCAGGUGCGUUAUUGCUGGUGGAAAUAGUUCGUGAGGUUGUUGAUGUGUCAGAUAGUGAUGGUUCGAACCCUAAGUGGGGGAGAACCGGGUGGUUUAUUGAGAGAACCAGAGAUUUGUGCAAGAGCAGUUAGGGGUUGGAUGCAGAAACCUGCGGCUUGAAUUCAGGAGAUCAAGGUCAUUGGUGGUCAAGGUAAGGUGUACGGUGAGAUAAUGCAUGUGGUGUAUGCCUGAGAGAAGGAUGCGUGUCUCCACGGCGAGUGGUCAAUGGUCAGGAAUCUGGUGGUGGUCAGAGUCAAUUCAAGUGGAAGACUCGUAAUGAUGGUAUGGGCAGUUGAGAACUUCUGGGUUGAAAUAUGGGUAGAAGAUUAUCGAGUAGCCAACUCCCAGGCUGGGAUGUGUAUUCUUGCUUGAAUUUUGAGCAGUAGUGGAAAGGUUUUCGGAGGAUCAUCAGUGUGUUCUGAAGGGUUAGCGCCUUCCUUGUAUUCCAAUUGAGUGUUUGGAUGCACUGAAGUUGCGCAUCGAGUGAUAUAAGAAAUUAUUAUGGGAUUCAAAGGAAAUGUAUUGUUGUGUGUAUAUGGUGUUGGGAGUAAGGGAAUCAGUGGUAGAGGCAGGACAUUGUGAUGCUCUGUUAGGGUGUUCUGUGGUUUCCGCGUAUAGCGUCCCGAUUUCAGAGUUAUUUAGAGUCUUGGGUUAAGAUGACUGGGGAUGUAUCAUGUAUCCAUCGUUCCAGUGGGAGCCCUUCGUGUAUUGUCAUCAAGAGGGAUUAUUUAAGGAAGUGGAUCUCCGUAGAGGUAGGUUCUGUGUUAUGGCGGUUGCCGCCAGAGUCUGUAAUGCAUAUCGGGGCAAGUGUGUGUGUAACUAUCUAUGAUAGUCUUCGGUGCAUGAGUUANGGAUCAGCCUAACCUAAAUAUGCGACAGAGGAGGUGGUUGGACGUGGUCAAGCAUUAUGAUUAUGAGAUCCUGUACCACCUGGGCAAGGCUAGUGUUUUAGCCGAUGCACUGAGCCGCAGGGUGAAGAGCACCCCAUUGCGAGAUGUAUGUUUGAGAUUACCGUGAUAGCUCCGGUGUUCGACACCAUUCGUGGAGCACAGGCUGAGGCUGUGCGGCCUGAGAUACAGAAGAUAGAGCGAGUUGUCGAGUUGGUAUCGGAGUUCGUUACCGAUAGCCGGGGGCUUAUGACAUUUCAGGGGCGUAUCUGGGUACCGUUUGUGGGAGGAACGCGUACCAUUUUGAUGGAAGAGGCUCACCGGUCGAAGAUCUCGAUGCAUCCUGGGGCCACUAAGAUGUAUUUAGAUCUGAAGGAGUAUUGGUGGCCCUGUAUGAAGAGGGAUGUCGCGUGGUUUGUUGAGGGUUGCUUAACCUGUUGUAGGGUUAAGGCCGAGCACCGGAGACCGCAUGGUAAGUUGCAGCCUUUAAAGGUUCCUGAAUGGAAGUGGGAACAGAUUGCCAUGGAUUUUAUCACCAAAUUGCCAAGGACUUCUAGGGGAGUCGAUGCAAUUUGGGUGAUUGUGGACAGGUUGACAAAGAGCGCCCACUUCCUUGCUAUCAGUGAGAACUCUUCCACAGAGAAGUUGGCAGAGGUGUAUGUGAGAGAAGUGGUAUCGCGGCAUGGAGUGCCGAUCUCGAUUGUCUCAGACCGAGAUGUGUGUUUCACUUCCAGACUCUGGAAGAAAUUUCAUGAGGAGUUGGGUAUUAGGUUGCAUUUUAGUACCGCAUAUCACCCCGAGACUGACGGACAGAUGAGCGGACGAUUCAGACGCUCGAGGAUAUGCUCUGGGCAUGUGUGUUGGAUUUAGGGGGGAGUUGGGACACGUAUUUGCCCAUGGCAGAGUUUUCUUACAACGACAGCCAUCAUUAGUGCAUCAGUAUGCCGCCCUUUGAGCUGCUGUAGGGAAGGGAGUAUCGGACCCCAUUUGCGGGGAAGAGGUAGAGCAACAUGUGAUGGGAAGUACAGAGAUCUUGCUUCAGACGUCAGAGCAGAUACAUCAUGUCAGGCAGAGGUUGUUGACCGCUCAGAGUCGCUAGAAGAGUUCUGCGGACAGGUGCCGGUCCGAGCUCGAAUUGUUGGUCGGUGACUUUGUACUCCAGAAGGUCUCUCCUUGGAAAGGAGUGAUUCAAUUCAGGAAGAGGGGCAAGUUGGGGGCCCCGAUAUAUUGGUCCUUUCUGAGUGAUCGCGAGGGUAGGCUGGAUAGCCUAUCGUUUGGAUUUGCCAGCAGAGUUGGGGCAGUUUCACGACACUUUUCAUGUGUCGCAACUGAGGAAAUGUUUAGUCGAUGAGUCGGCAGUGGUUCCAAUAGAGAAUAUUCAGGUGGAUGCGAGCCUGAAUUAUGCUAAGAGACUAGUGGAGAUCGGAGACCAGAAGACCAAGGUUCUGAGGAACAAGGAGAUAUGCUUGGUUUUGGUUCAGUGGCAGCAUUGUAAGGGAUCCGAGAUGACCUGGGAGCCGGAGUGUGAGAUGCAGGAGCAACAUCUAAAGUUGUUUGCAGAGUGAGACUUCGAGGGCGAAGUCUAAUUCUNCUAGUGGGGGAGAAUUGUAACAGCCCGGAACCCCAAGUGUUAUUUAUUCAAAUAUUUUUGGUGUUUUGUGAGGGAACUCGGCAAGUUGGAGCUCAAACUCGCCGAGUAGGAUCGCGGUUUUAGAUGCAGGUUCGCGCCGGGACUCGACGAGUCCACGCUGUUUAAUGAAACCCUAAUUUUCCGGUCCUGAGCCCUAUUUAAGGGACCUUAUGGCCUUCAUUGCGGCUACCUUCGACCUUGGGAGCACCAGAGCAGCUGAGAGUUCUUGUGUGUGAGAUAAGAGGCCAUUAUUCACCAUUUUUGUGAGUUGGGGAGCUUAGAUCUACUCCCAUUUCGACAGAGGAAGCUAAUUGAGGUAACAUUCAAAGCUUAUUCUCGUGUUUUUCCUGAUAUGGCCAAAUCUAGGGUUUCUUCAUGCCUUGUUUUCCUUGUAUUUGCAGUAUGAGAGGUCCCAUGGGGAAAUGGUACCUAGAUCUGGACCUUAGUAGGUCCAAAGAGUCCUAAAUGCCAUGCUUUAUGCCUUUCCUUUUGAGUUGGAGACUUAGGUUUCCAUUUUAGAUGUCAUUUCAUCAAAAGAAGCCUUGUAGGUGUUGCUUGGUAGCCAAGAUUGAGACUUUACGUGAUGAAUGUGCUUGGGAGGGCUAGAUCUAUGAGUUGUUGGAGCGGAUCUGACCUCAGAAGCGAGAUUGAGUCGAUGCAUGGCACGGACUCGCCGAGUCUGAAGAACAGACUCGGCGAGUAGCAUGAAGAUUGUCCUAACCACUCAACGAGUGGCCUUGCCGAGUUAAGGGAUGACUCAGUGAGUCAGGGAGAAUUAGAGAGGGUUGACAGGUGGACUCAGUGAAGCUGGAACUCGCCGAGUUGUUCUUGAGACUCGGCGAGUUGAGUCGUGGUGGCCUCGCGAUUAUUCCAGGUGAAACUCGUCGAGUCCUAGAAACACUCGAUGUGUCAAGAGAGGACAAAGGAGUCAGUGGGCACGUGUAGACUCGCCGAGUCGCCCUAGUGCAUUCGCCGAGUCCGGUCAAAGUUGACCGUUGACUUUUGUUGACUUUUAGGGUUUGGUCAGCGAUGUGGCCUUUGGGCCAAGAGAGGGGUAAAAUGGUCUUUUACCCUUAAGAGGGUGUCAAGAGAGGGUUGAUCCUAGACUCGAGAGUUAUAUUCAUGAGAGUAUUUGCCUUAUGUGUUAGGCGGUGGCAAGUUCGAGAUUCAAGUGUGGGGAUAUCUGCUUUCUGCUUGCCAGGUGAGUCUUCUCACUAUACUUUACCUUGAGUAGGUAAUCAGNAGAGUAUUUUUAUGCUAUAUGCAUGUUAUGUGUUGUACUGCAUUAUUUCUAUGUGAUUUAUGCUGUGCAUGUUUAUAGAGUUGGAACCGGAAGGUUCCCAGAGUUAGAAUCGGAGGGUUCACAGAGUUAGAAUCAGAGGGUUCAUAGAGUAGGGUCCACGGAUCCAUAGAGUUAUAGCCACGAGUGGCUAAUAUAUGUAUGUUUGGUAUUUUGGGGAGCUAACUAAGCUUCGUGCUUACAGUGUUUUGUGUUAUGUGUUUCAUGUUUCUCUCAGGAUCACGGGACGGCACCGGCUCGAUUGUACACACCAGAGAAAGAGUCAUGUUUUGAGGAUCCUGGUUUAUUAUGCAAGUGAAAAUGGAGUUAUGUUUUGUAAUUCGAUUAUGUAUGAGAUUUUCAGCAAAGUGUUUUUUUUUGAAUUAAACGAUUAUUUUAAAAUGAAAAAUUGUUUUGAAAUUUUCGGUGUUACAGUGGAGCUCUAACCCAUGAAUCUCAUGGAAAUGAAAAACAUGAGUAUUAGGGUUUACAUGGAUGUAACCCUAAUCCACCACACUAUAUCAAGGAGGCUUUGGUUCUUGAAAUCACAUUAGUUGAUGUGUGUAAAGUAAGAGGGACGAUUUCAAGAAGGGUGUAGCUAUUCUCUCAAGUUUUCCAAGCUUGUGGUGAUUUGUGACUUCCAUUUGAGACAUCCACAUUAUUGGUGCUAGGAUCUCAAACUCCAAGCAAUCAACUACAACUACAAGAUAAUCAAUUAUAGUAGCUUUAUUUGAUUCAAGUAACCCAUGCCAUGCUAGUUAGGAUAAGUACAUUGGAAAAAUAAUUAUUUGCAUGUAUCUUAGUCAAACAUAGAACCAAGAUUUCUAGGGUUGCAUGUACACCAUAGGAGUGUUAGAAUGCUCAAAACCCAUCAUCUAUAACACAAAAUAAGCCAACAUGGGACAGAUCUCAGGUUCUAGGGCCUUGUCAACUCGUAAAGCCAUCAACUUUGGGGACAAAAACCCUAAAACACCCCACACAUGAACACAAACAAAAGAGUAGGAAUGCUUGAAGCUUUUUACCUCCAAAUGAAUCCUUUCUCACUGCUAAGCUCAGAUCCAAGGGCUUGGGCUCUAACUCCUUCUUCUCCAAAGCUUCCUUUCCACUUCUAAUGCACAAGAACACACCCACAAGUUCUCAAAGGCAGUCUCUUGCUACAAGAAUGAGAUUUAGGGUUUUGGGGAGGUUAUGUAUCUGGAAAUGGUGGCCAUAGGGAGGCCAGGACACUCUUUAAAUAGGGAACUCACUCAAUAUUUGGGUUACAAUCUGGGCCUGGUAUGCCCCACGUACGCCUUGGUACGCCCGAUAUACUAGGUUGCCCUCCGCGAUCAAACACGCGCACGAGUACGCUGAGCGUACACUCUAGUAUGCUCCGCGUACCCGUCUACCACCCUUUUCUUAUCAAGGACCAAUAUGGAAAAUUACUCAAAGAUUAGGGUUCACAAGGUAUACCUGGGUUUUUGGAUGUUACAAUUCUCCCCCCACUAGAAUUAGACGUCGCCCCCUGAAUUCAUGCUCCACAAACAACUCUGGAUGCUGCUCCCGCAUCUCAGACUCCAAUUCCCAAGUCGUCUCGGACCCUCUCCGAUGCUACCACUAAACUUCGACCAAAGACACCUCCUUAGUCCUUAGAACCUUCACCUUUCAAUCCAGAAUCGCGAUCGGUCUUUCGAUGUAACUCAUGCCCGCAUCCACAUGAAUAUCCUCUAGUGGUACAACUGUCGUCUUAUCGGCCACACACUUCCUCAACUGGGAUAUGUGGAAGGUGUUAUGGAUCUGACUCAACUCCUCAGGUAGAUCCAAACAGUUUGCUACCUUGCCUACACUCGCGGUCACCAUGAAAGGACCAAUGUAUUCUGGCCCCAACUUGCCCUUCUUCCUGAAUCGGAUCACUCUUUUCCAAGGAGAUACCUUCAGGCGUACUAUGUCUCCGACCUGGAAAUCGAGCUCGAAUCGCCGCCUAUCCGCGUAACUCUUCUAGCGGCUCUGGGCUGUCAGUAACCUUUGUCUGACCUGCUAUAUCUGCUCAGUCAUCUUUAGCAUUAUCUCGGUGCUACCCAUCGCUCGCUGCCCCGCCUCUCCUUAACAGAUGGAGGUCCGAUACCUCCCCCCAUAUUAAAUCUCAAACGGAGGCAUAUAAUACUCGAAUAGUGGCUGUUGUUGUACGAAAACUCGGCCAAAGGUAGGUAUGUUUCCCAACUUCUGCCGAAGUCCAUAAAACAUGCUUGAAGCAAGUCCAAAGGUGGCAAUCUCGAACCCAAAUCCUCAUGAAACUUCUUCUAGAACCUGGAAGUGAAACACACAUCUCUGUCUUACACAAUUGAGAUCGGCACUCCAUGCCGAGACACCACCUCUCUCACGUAUAUCUCUGCCAGCCUCUCUGUAGAAGAGCUCUCACUGGUAGCAAGCAAAAUGAGCGCGCUUCUUCAGCCGGUCAACAAUCACCCAAAUUGCAUCAACACGCUUGCGGUCCUCGAAAAUUUGGUAAUGAAAUCCAUAGAAAUAUGUUCCCACUUCCACUGGGGAACCUCCAGCGGCUGCAACUUGCCGUGCGGACGCUGAUGCUUCGCCUUGACUCGACGACAUGUCAAUCACCUUUCUACGAGCCACGCAAGAUCCCUCUUCUUACAGGGCCACAGGUAAUCUCUCUUCAGAUCCAAAUACAUGUUAGUGGCCCCGGGAUGGAUCGAGAAUCUCGAUCUGUGCGCCUCCUCAAUCAAUAUGCUACGUGCUCCGCCCAUAAACGACACCGAUACCAGACCGUGAAAGGUUAUAAGUCGUCGGCAACCAGUAACAAACUCGGACCCCUGCCCAAUCACCCGCUCUCUCGUGUGGUUCUCCAGUCUCACAGCCUCUACCUGGGCCUCUCGGAUGGUAUCCAAUACCAGAGUCAUCACCGUCAUCCUCAUACAUGUAUCUCGAAUCUGGGCACUCACCGCCCUGUGGCUCAGAGCAUCGACUACCAUCUUAUCCUUGCCCGGGUGAUACGUUAUCUCACAGUCAUAAUCCUUUACAACCUCCAACCAUCUCCUUUUACGCAUGUUCAGGUUGGUCUGAUCCAUUAGAUACUUCAAACUCUUGCGGUCCGUGUAUAUGGUACACCGAACCCCUUACAAAUAAUGGCCCCAUAUCUUGAGGGAGAACACUAUUGCCCCCAACUCCAAAUCGUGGUUGGGAUACCUCGUCUCAUGAGGGUUCAGCUGCCUCGAUGCGUAUGCUAUCACGUGCCCUCUCUGGAUAAGCACCGUACCCAAUCCUUAUAUGGACGAGUCACAGUACACCACAAAAUCCUCCAUUCCCUCUUGAAGGGCUAAGACCGGGGCUUCGUAUAAUCUUUGGCGAAGAGUCUCAAACGAGGUCUGCUGCUCAGCACCCCAUGUAAAACUAGCGGCCUUCCGGGUCAAUCUGGUAAGGGAACGACAAUCUUGGAGAAAUCCCUGAUAAGUCUCCGAUAGUAGACGGCCAACCCUAGAAAGCUCUUGAUCUCGGUGGGGGAUAUCGGCACCUCCCAUCUCAUAACAGUCUAAAUCUUGGCCGAAUCGACCAAUAUCCAAUUCUGAUAAACGAGAUGUCCCAAAAAUUGGACCUCUCUUAACCAGAAAUCACACUUAGACAUAAAGCCUCUCCGAUCUCAAUACCGCAAGAAUCUCCCUUAGAUGCUCCUCGUGUUGCUCCCUAGAUCUCGAUUACACCAGAAUAUCGUCGAUGAACACAAUCACCGAUCGAUCCAAAAUCGACCUUCAUACUCGGUUGAUGAGAUCCAUGAACGCUGCUGGUGCAAUGGUGAACCCAAAAGGCAUCUCCAUGAACUCGUAAUGCCCAUAAGGAGUCCUAAACAACGUAUUUUGGAUAUCCUCAUCCCACACCCUCAUCUGGUGAUAUCCCGAUCUCAAGUCUAUCUUCGAGAACCAAGAAGCUCCCUGCAACUGAUUGAACAAAUCGUCGAUCCUCUGUAGUGGAUAACGUUUCUUGACCAUCAACUUGUUCAACUCCCGGUAAUCAUGCACAUCCGGUGUGAACCAUCAUUUUUCUUGACAAAAAGGAUCGGCGCUCCCCACGACGAGUUACUCGGUCGAAUGAAUCCCUUCCCCAACAGCUCCUGAGCCUGCGUAGACAACUCUUUCAUCUCUGGUGGUGUAAGGUGAUAAGGUACCUUAGCAAUAGGCGCCACACCCGGAACCAGAUCGAUGCGAAACUCCACCCGCCUAUCGGGAGGCACACCCGGUAACUCCUUGGGGAUAACAUGUGGAAACUCUCAUACUAUCCGAACCUCACUGACCGAUGUCGACCUCUAUGCGGCAACUCGUGUAUCAAUCACAUAGGCCACAAAUCCUCUGUAGCCCUUCUGUAGACUCUGCCUCACUCUGACAGCCGAGCAAAAUGCUGACCCAGAUCGGUUACCCUCGCGAUAUACCGUAAGUACUCCCCCACUAGGGUCUCGUAUGGUCACCAACUGACGCUCGCAGUCGAGAAUAUCUCCAAAUUGGCUCAACCAAUCCAUACCUACGAUGACAAAGACAUCCCCCAUCGUAAUAGGUACCAAAUCUAUCAGGAACUCAACACUAAAAAUCUCGAUUAUACAUCUUUGAAUCUCCUCAGUAGCAAAGACCACUCGCUCGACAGCUUUAGAAACUCAGAGAGGUCGACUCAACGCCUCUCGUCGGAUACCGAUGUGCUGACUAAAAGCUAAUUACACAAAAGAUCGACUCACACCUGAAUCAAAUAACACCAAAGAAGGUACAUAAUUCAAAAGGAAAGUACCUAAACAUAUCAAAAUAUAAGCAUAAUAUCUCAAAAUCAGCAUAAGUAAAUAGAAGAAUACAUACCAGCCACGACAUCGGGCGCUGCGCGGACCUCCUCCUCCGUCAACUAAAAGGCUCUCCCGCGAGCCCUCAGUGUCUCUGCCUUCACUGGCCGGCUCUCAGAAGCACGCACAGAAGUACGUGAAGAUCCCUGCACUAGCUCGGGGCACUCGGCCUUCCGGUGGUCGGUCUGGUUGCAAUGAAAGCAAAUCAAGAAUCCGUUGGGGAAAUCCUUCACCAUGUGUCCCUCCUUGCCGCAUUUGUAGCAGAUCCCUACUCGGAAAGAACCCUCGUGACUCUUGCCGCACUUGCCAUAAGUGCGGCCCUUCUGGCCUUCAACUCUGGAAUCAGCAGGCUUAGCCCGCUUUGUCAUCGGUUGCGACUAUACUUGCCUCCGGUCCCUCCCCGGGGACUCCUCCUCAUCCUCCCUGGUCUAAAGCGCAAGCUCAAUUUUCUCCUCCUGGCAUUCGCCUGGAGCUCGGCCAAUGUCCGGUAAGACGAGUUCUCCACAACUCUUGUAUGUCCCUCUUCAGUAUGCUCAGAUAUCGACUCACACGUUCCUGCUCAAUGGACACGUGUUCGAGGCAAAACAUCACCCUCUCAUGGAAUACCCUCAAGAUCUCAGUCAUUGACUCUAACUUCUUCCAGAGAGACAGAAACUCUUAUGUAACAUCCCGAAAUAUCAAGAGUAGAGUUGAAGGGCUAAAAGAGUAAGUUGUGAAAGAGUGACUCGGCGAGUCCAUGGAUGGACUCGGCGAGUAGAGUCGCGACUGGGUCGCGUGCUAAGUAGCCGACUCGGCGAGUCGGUGAGGAGGACUCGGCGAGUAGGCGCUGAUUGGAGAAAACCCUAAUUCUCGGGGUUGAGCCCUAUAUAAAGAACAUUAUGUUUUCCUCCCAGCCUCCUUAUCACCCCUUGAGCCCCAGAAAACCCUAAAUCGCGGAGAAGCACCAUUGUUGAGUGGAUUGGAGCUUGGAGAAGUAAUUGUUGAAGGAAUUUUGGGAGAUUGAAGGCUUGGAGCAAGGGGCUUUGCUUGGAUUCGAAUUACAUUGCAGUUGGGGCAUCUCUUGGAGGUAAUAUCUCGUUCUUGGGCUGUUAUUAUGUGUUUCUUCAUUUUGGGGUUUGUGGGAACUUGUCUAUGGAUGUAAUGGGAAGUCUAGAGGUUAGAUCUGAGGUUGCUACCUCAGAUCUGGAAGGGAGAAGAAUCAGAGAGCAUGAAAGUCCCUGUGUUGGAGUGUUUAGUGAAGCUUUCAUGUCCCAAACCCUAGCCCAAUGUGCAAAUGGCCUAGAUCUCUUUGGAUUCACGUAAAGUUUGCCACUUUACGUGAUGGAUGAGUGGUAGGAGGCUAGAUCUAUGUUUUGGAGCAAUUGCAUGGCCUGGAAUGCUUCUGAAUGGAUUCAGACCGGUGGUACUCGGCGAGUCACAUGGGUGUACUCGACGAGUUGGAUGAAGAUGGCCUGGAACUCGGCGAGUUGUAUGAACAACUCGACGAGUAGGUUGAUGAUAGUCUUGGACUCGGCGAGUCUGUUCUUGGACUCGGCGAGUCUUGUCGAAGAGUCCCGAUAUUCCCUGGUUGAGUCGAGAAUCGGUGAGUCAAGGGAUGACUCGGUGAGUUGUGUGCGAGUGGACUCAGAGUUGUUGGACUCGGCGAGUCUCGGAGUGACUCGGCGAGUUAGGUCGCGGAUUGAGUGAAGUUCUGAUUAUAGAAACUCGGCGAGUCAUAGAGUUGACUCGGCGAGUAGGGUCAGUCAGGGGUUGACUUUGACUGAGGACUUUGAUUUUGACCAAGGGUUGACCGUUGACUUUUAGGGUUUGGUCAGCGAUGUGGCCUUUGGGCCAAGAGAGGGGUAAAAUAGUCUUUUACCCUUAAGAGGGUGCAUUGAGAGGAUUGAUUCUAGUCUCGAGAGUUAUAGUCAUGAGAGUUUUGCCUUACGUGUUAGGCGGUGGCGAGUUCGAGAUCCGAGUAUGGAGAUAUCUGCUUUUUGCUUGCCAGGUGAGUCUUCUCACUAUACUUUACCUUGAGUAGGUAACCAGAGUUAUGUGACAGAGUAUUUGUAUGCUAUGUAUGUUAUGUGUUGUACUGCAUUAUUUCUAUGUGAUUUAUGCUGUGCAUGUUUGCAGAGUUGGAACCGAAGGGUUCCUAGAGUUAGAACCGGAAGGUUCACAGAGUUAGAACCUGAGGGUUCACAGAGUUUGGGUGCACGGACCCAUAGAGUUAUAGCCUCGAGUGGCUUAUAUGUGUUAUGUGUGUGGUAUUUUGGGGAACUCACUAAGCUUCGUGCUUACAGUGUUUUGUGUUAUGUUGUUUUCAGGUUUCUUUCAGUAUCACGGUACGGCACCGGCUUGAUUGUACACACCAGAGCAAGAGUCAUAUUUUGGAGGAUCCUGGUUUUCUAUGCAAGUGAAAAUGGAGCUAUGUUUUGUAAUUUGAUUAUGAAUGAGAUUUUUAACAAGUGUUCUAAGAAUAAAAUGAUUAUUUAAAAUGAAAAUUUUGUCUUGAAAUUUACGGUGUUACAAGUUGGUAUCAGAGCCUUGGUUUGAGGGAUUCGGAUGCGCCUUCGGGUAAUUCUGGACUCAAACUGAGGAAGUAAGAAAAGUUUUCAAAGAAAUAAUUUUCUAAAGCGAAUAAGAGUUCAAAGAGAAAACGAGAAAGAGCAGUGUGUACAAUCAGCCAGAGCCCGAACGGUGAUUUCCCAAAAUACCCUUACUUUUGUGUUAUGAGAUAUUUAUGAUGCACUUUAUGAGAUAUUAUUGCAUGCUAGAGACAGGCUAGGUAUUCCAUAUAUUAGGAGUAGAGUGGCCUGAUUUGUGAUGCCUUAGCCUAGGAAUUGCUGUGAUAUGCGUUGUGCUUUUGAGUAUGUGAUGAGUGAGAAUAUUUGAUUGGAAUCCUUUAGGGGAUUUGAGUAGUGGAGUAAUCUAGGGAAGAUACCUAGAUGAGUACUGUGGUACUUGGAGAAAGAAUAGUUAGAGCCCGCGAGGGGAAGAGUUGCAGAGUUCGGUGGUACUUCCGAGGAUGAGCAGAGCAAGCGGAGUUAUCACCCAGAGUGAGUCAUAUAUAUUCUUCGAUGCUCGAAUGCUGCUUGCUUCGUGCUUUGUGGAACUCUCGAUGAUGGGAGUCAGCUACCAAGCGAAUAUGACGAUAUUCAGGAGGUAGAUGGCUGGCAUCAUUAGGAGCUCUUCAGCAGCUGAUGGCAGAGAAGUGUGGGAAUCUGAGAAGAGCCUAGGGAGUAACCUUAGCCAGAUGAGUGCACUGGCAGGGUAGAGAAUUUCGCUGGGGAGCGAGCGCGCGAUGGAAUUGGUGAACGAGAAGGUCGAGCAGCUACUUAGGAGCUCCGGGAUAGUCCGUGUGGAAAGUAUGGGUAGAUGUGGCAGGUAGUAUGGGCCCGUACUACUGAAAGCAGAGGACCCAUACUUGAUACAGGGAGUAUUCUGAAGAUUCUAAUGAGCGUAUUAAGGAGUGAUGUAUGGUUCGAGUACCAUACAUCAGAGCAGAUUGAGGAGUGAUGUUAUGGUUCGAGUACCAUACAUCGGAGCAGAUUGAGGAGUGAUGUUAUGGUUGAGUACCAUACAUCGGAGCAGAUUGAGGAGUGAUGAUAUGGUUGAGUACCAUACAUCGGAGCAGAUUGAGGAGUGAUGUUAUGGUUCGAGUAUCAUACAUCGGAGCAGAUGGAGGAGUGAUGCUAUGGUUCGGGUACCAUACACCGGAGCAUAUUGAGAAGAGAUGUCAUGGGAUGAGUACCAUGGUUCGUAGUGAAUGAUGCUUGUGAUUCUCUGGUUAUCCGGUCACGAUUGAUGAGGUAGAGAUUGGACGCUAUGGGUUUUAGGCCUGUAGGCCAUGAUUGAGUUUGGAGAGGCGUCCCUCGAGAGGGAAGUCGAGAGCCUAUCAGAGUAUUUUGGUAAGGAGUUAGAGGGAGAGGAGAAUUUCGGUCUAAGUUGAGCAAUCAGUCGAUAGAGGAGAGGUCACCUUCUAUGUGAGUGGUGCUAUUUAUGUUCGUGUGCGGAACAUGAAAGGCCUGAUGUUUUAGUUUUGGGUUUGUGGGUAAACCCUGCAGGUCGUUAUUGAUGAUGAUUUCUUCCAGAGUAUCAGGUAGCAUGUGUGCCGUGAGGCAGUGAUUUGUCAGGAGCAGAUAGUCAGUUGGGACUGAGAUUGUCGAGGACCACACUACACCUAUUUAAGUAUAGUAGGAUGUAUUAUAGUGGUAUCAGUGGGGAGUUCAGUCGAGUUUAGCAGUGCAGAGAGUUUUCUAUCUAUGUUGGGUGUUGAAUAUGGGAGUGGGUCCCUGUUCUUGGGAUGAUCCCGGUGUUGGAGCGAUGUUUGAUGAGUUGAGGUGAGGGGUACGAUGAUUUUGUGGUUCAGUCUAUGAGCCAGGGAUGUCAUUGAGCAGUUAAGUUGUUUGGUACUUGAUUGGUACGAGAUUUGGAACGACUAGAGGCAGUCGUGGCGAGCAGUUCUUGACGAGUUCAUCUGAGGAUCAGAGUUAUGAGAUCGAUUAAUUUCCUUAAAGGGGAUUAUCGGGUGUUGCGUAGCACUUUCCAGUGGCAGGUGCGUUAUUGCUGGUGGAAAUAGUUCGUAAGGUUAUUGAUGUGUAAGAUAGUGAUGGUUCGAACCCUAAGUGGGGGAGAACCGGGUGGUUUAUUGAGAGAACCAGAGAUUGGUGCAAGAGCGGUUAGGGGUUGGAUGCAGAACCUGCGGCUUGAAUUCAUGAGAUCAGGGUCAUGGGUGAUUAAGGAAGGUGCAGGGCGAGAUAAUGCAUGUGAUAUAUGUCUAAGAGAAGGAUGGGUGUCUCCACGGCGGGUGGUCAAUGAUCAGGAAUCUGAUGGUGGUCAGAGUCGUCUCGAGUGGAAGGCUCGUAAUGAUGGUAUGGGCAAUUGAGAACUUCUGGGUUGAGAUAUGGGUAGCUGAUUAUCGAGUAGCCAAUUCCUGGGCUAGGGUGUGUAUUCUUUCUUGAAUUUUGAGCGGUAGUGGAAAGGGUUUCGGAGGAUCAUCGGUGUGUUCUGAAGGGUUAGCGCCUUCCUUGUAUUCCAAUUGAGUGUUUGGAUGCACUGAAGUUGCGCAUCGUGUGAUAUCAGAAAUUAUUAUGGGAUUCAGAGGAAAUGUAUUGUCGUGAGUGUAUGGUAUUGGGAGUAAGGGAAUCAGUGGUUGUGGCAGGAUCUUGUGAUGUUCUGUUGGGAUAUUCCGAGGUAUCCGGGUAUGAUACCUUUAUUUCGGAGUUACUCGUAAAUCUUGAGUUGAAACGAUUUGUGGUGUAUCAGGUAUCUACGGAUCUAGUGGGAGCCCUUCGAGUAUGGGCAUCCAGGGAGAUUAUUAAGAGAAAGGAACUUUGCAAGGGUGGGCAUGUUGAUAUGUCGAUUGCUUCCAGAGUCUGGAAUGUGUAUUCGAGUCGAGUAUGGGUAGCUGCCUGUGAUAGUCUGCGGAGCAUGAGCUAGUGGAGUCAGAGGGUGUUGUGAUACUGCGGGGAGCCGUAGUACUCACUAGUCAGAGAGUGUUGUGAUACUGCGGGGAGCCGUAGUACUCACUAGUCAGAGGGUGUUGUGAUACUGCGGGGAGCCGUAGUACUCACUAGUCAGAGGGUGUUGUGAUACUGCGGGGAGCCGUAGUACUCACUAGAUGGCAAGAGAAUGUGAUGAUGGAAUGAUCUCCGAUCAGUGUAUGAUGUGGAAGAGUUUUGGGCUUGAGUAUCCCUAGUAUUGAGUUCUGGAGCCUGGGUGUUGAACCGGGGGCGAGACUGGGGUCACCGUCUCUGUCGGGAGAUGCGGUGAGAUGCGCAAGGGAUAUGCGUAGCAGAAACUAGAGAUCAGAGUUGAGGCGAUCCUCGGUUGGAUUGU
Molecule: long non-coding RNA, 14626 nt
Filed under: Lactuca sativa (garden lettuce)
Lineage: Eukaryota; Viridiplantae; Streptophyta; Magnoliopsida; Asterales; Asteraceae
Description: long non-coding RNA (LSAT_LNC003123)
Source: RNAcentral